GACAACUUUUCGACGGUUGCCUUCCUCCUUAUUUGUGGAGCUCCUUGGCAUGUGUUUUACCCCCUGUGUUAUUUAUAUGGGCCUCAAGGGGCUCUCUUAACGUGUAGGCUUCUGUUUACCUUGUUUUUUUGUUUGUGGGGUUAUAUUUCUUGUGUGUCGUAUGUAAUAGGCCAGUGUACUUGUGAUCAUCGCGUUUUUGGGUGUGUUUGUAUCGAUUUUGUGUUUUCGAGUUGGUUCGGAGCCUGAGCCUACAAAAACCAAAAAUCUAGACCUGGAACCUGAGAUCGCGGAAGACAAGCCAGAAGAAUACCAUCAGUAAGGCUCCAGAUCCAGCUGAGGAGGAACCUGAGGUCGCGGUUCUCGCCGGCAUCUACAGGUCCUUGAGCUUGCUCAAAGCCGGCGUCAAUUAUUAUCGAAAAUCCGAGGCGAAGAUUGGCGCCGCUAUUAAUAUUGCAGUUUCGGCUCCAUUGGCGCUUGUCCAGGUCUGGAUUUGGAAGAGAUUCCCCACUCUAAGCCCGACGCUGACGCCGGUUGGGCUGAACAAGCACAAUAAGAAAAUAUCAAUUUUGUAACAAGUGAAGUCGGGACUGUGCAGAUGGGGUAGUUUGAAGAAAGUGAAAAAACUGAGAAUUUAUUGUCCAUCAUAGAUGCAGCUGGAGCAGAGUUUGUGUGGCGUCCGUAUAAGGGAAAUGGCUUCCCUGAGAAGCUCUACAAGGAUUUUGGAUAUUGGGCUGUUGUUGAUUCAGAAGUAGACGAAGAUUUAGAAGGCUUGAUCCGCUGCUUGAGGGCCAGCGAGCUCGUCGGACUCGGCUCUGACCCAACGAUCUGUCUGUAUCUCUGUUUCUUAUCCUUAAGUACAGGCAUAAUUUUUUCAUGAAGAUGGAGGACGAGAGCAUCCAAGACAGCACCAGUCCUGUCUUGUUUGUGCACACAAAGCCUAAGGAUAGCACGCAAAUAAUAAAGUUAUG
This is a long non-coding RNA of Andrographis paniculata, 968 nucleotides long. RefSeq lists it as uncharacterized. Lineage: Eukaryota; Viridiplantae; Streptophyta; Magnoliopsida; Lamiales; Acanthaceae. The transcript is spliced from 3 exons. The record is from RefSeq and is a predicted model, not a curated record.